GACACUGUGGCCGAGUGGUUAAGGCGAGUGAUUAGAAAUCACUUGGGUUUAUCCCGCGUAGGUUCGAGUCCUAUCAGUGUCG
This is a non-coding RNA of Cylindrotheca closterium, 82 nucleotides long. Lineage: Eukaryota; Bacillariophyta; Bacillariophyceae; Bacillariales; Bacillariaceae. The record is from the annotation of a GenBank genome assembly.